This 30-nucleotide non-coding RNA is filed under the name Homo sapiens (human). Lineage: Eukaryota; Metazoa; Chordata; Mammalia; Primates; Hominidae. The record is from RNAcentral.
UGAGAUGUCUGCUCCAAAUCUUUCCUUUAA